AUCCCCGGAUGAGGACGACAAUGG
Molecule: non-coding RNA, 24 nt
Filed under: Cricetulus griseus (Chinese hamster)
Lineage: Eukaryota; Metazoa; Chordata; Mammalia; Rodentia; Cricetidae
Source: RNAcentral